GGUCUCAUGGUGUAACGGUUAGCACUCUGGACUCUGAAUCCAGCGAUCAGGGUUCAAAUCUCGGUGAGACCU
Molecule: transfer RNA, 72 nt
Filed under: Rhipicephalus microplus (southern cattle tick)
Lineage: Eukaryota; Metazoa; Arthropoda; Arachnida; Ixodida; Ixodidae
Description: tRNA-Gln
Rfam family: tRNA
About the family: Transfer RNA (tRNA) molecules are approximately 80 nucleotides in length. Their secondary structure includes four short double-helical elements and three loops (D, anti-codon, and T loops). Further hydrogen bonds mediate the characteristic L-shaped molecular structure. tRNAs have two regions of fundamental functional importance: the anti-codon, which is responsible for specific mRNA codon recognition, and the 3' end, to which the tRNAs corresponding amino acid is attached (by aminoacyl-tRNA synthetases). tRNAs cope with the degeneracy of the genetic code in two manners: having more than one tRNA (with a specific anti-codon) for a particular amino acid; and 'wobble' base-pairing, i.e. permitting non-standard base-pairing at the 3rd anti-codon position.
Source: Rfam by way of RNAcentral